Molecule: unclassified non-coding RNA, 288 nt
Filed under: plant metagenome
Description: partial contains small subunit ribosomal RNA, internal transcribed spacer 1, and 5.8S ribosomal RNA
Rfam family: Eukaryotic small subunit ribosomal RNA (bases 1-53)
Source: RNAcentral
GGAAGUAAAAGCGUAACAAGGUUUCCGUAGGUGAACCUGCGGAAGGAUCAUUAUCGUACAAAAUGUGAGGGGCAUGCGAGGGCUGUCGCUGACCCAAAAGUCGUGCACGCCCGAGUGUGUCCUCUUGCAUAAUAAUCCAUCUCACCCUUUGUGCAUCACCGCGUGGGCACCCUUCGGGAUCAUCUCGGAGGGGGGCUCGCGUUUUCACACAAACCCCCCUUUUAAAAGUGUAGAAUGACCACAUUUAUGCAAUCAAUACAACUUUCAACAACGGAUCUCUUGGCUCUC